This 88-nucleotide transfer RNA is filed under the name Burkholderia cepacia. Its description in RNAcentral is "tRNA-His(gtg)". The record is from RNAcentral. Lineage: Bacteria; Pseudomonadati; Pseudomonadota; Betaproteobacteria; Burkholderiales; Burkholderiaceae.
CGCGCGUGGCGGAAGUGCGCGCGUCGCGCGCGAUCCGUGGUGUCGCGCGGAUGCCUGGGCCGUUGCCGCGAUCCUGCGCGACGCGCGC